UGGGGAAUAUUGCACAAUGGGGGGAAACCCUGAUGCAGCGACGCCGCGUGAAGGAAGAAGUAUUUCGGUAUGUAAACUUCUUUUACCAGGGACGAAGGACGUGACGGUACCUGGAGAAAAAGCCACGGCUAACUACGUGCCAGCAGCCGCGGUAAUACGUAGGUGGCAAGCGUUGUCCGGAUUUACUGGGUGUAAAGGGCGUGUAGGCGGGAGAGCAAGUCAGAAGUGAAAUCUAUGGGCUUAACCCAUAAACUGCUUUUGAAACUGUUCUUCUUGAGUAUCGGAGAGGCAGGCGGAAUUCCUAGUGUAGCGGUGAAAUGCGUAGAUAUUAGGAGGAACACCAGUGGCGAAGGCGGCCUGCUGGACGACAACUGACGCUGAGGCGCGAAAGCGUGGGGAGCAAACAGGAUUAGAUACCC
Molecule: ribosomal RNA, 419 nt
Filed under: uncultured Sporobacter sp.
Lineage: Bacteria; Bacillati; Bacillota; Clostridia; Eubacteriales; Oscillospiraceae
Description: bacterial SSU rRNA
Rfam family: Bacterial small subunit ribosomal RNA
Source: RNAcentral